CAAGAGAGCGACCGCCCCAUUUAUGGGUAAGUAGAAUUUCACUUUUAAUUGGCGCGUUUUUCAAAAAGAAAAGAAAUUUGGAUUGAUUGAUUUUCCAAUGCAAACAAAAAAAAGAAUAAAUUUUUUUACUCCUUCCGUUCAAAUCUAUUGGUAGAACAGUAAUUGGAAAUUGGAGUAUUUUAAAUCAGUGGAAGGUUAAUUGUCAUUCUUCAAGGUUGAUUGUUUGGAUUUUUUUCUCAUCUUCUACUAAUUGUUAGAUUUUAAUUGAUUUCGUUUCGAUUUCCAACUUUGAGCUCCAUCUAACGGUGAGUAAAGAAAAGAAUUUCUGUUUACUUGAUUUUCUGGUUUGGUGGAAAAUGAUUUUUCUUUUGCUUCGUUAAUUGUGACUAUCAUCAAAUUGUUAUUCUUUUUUUUUAUUAACAUGGGAGAUAAUGGGGAGAGUUAAUACACUUUAAUCAUUUUCUUCUUUAAAGGUAGACAACAAUUGUUACCUGGGAAUACUUUUUCUUCACGUAUCAGUUUAUAUGUUUCAUUGAUUCUCAUCCAUUUUUCCUUUGUCUCUUUGUUUACAGGUUGUCAACAUAAUCUUUUUUAUAUUUGCUUUUUUCCUCAACAAAAUCUUUACUUCGUUUGAUUGUCUUUUCCUGUGAUUUGGUUUUCUAUAUUUUAUCGAGUGAAUUUUGUAUCUUAAAACAAUUGUAUUGAUCACCAUGUCUUCCGGUAAACGAAAGUUGAGCCAAUUUGACAGUGAAUUGCCCUUGAGAAGAGAGUUUGAUGUCCAUCAGGAAUCGAUAAUUGAUUUUGUCUCUCUCAUGUUGAAUAAAGUGGAAAGCGUUGUUACCGAAUCCGAAUCGACCAAUAGUAUUGAGAACAGUUUGACCUCAUCCACAUCACAUGGAUCUAAUGCUGAAAUUACAUUGACCUCAACGGAAACACCAAGUUAAAUUGAAUGGUUAUCAUGAUUUGUGCUCAAUCCAAUUUAUAUCGACGAUCGUACAACAAACGGACAAACAACUUUGACGAUACUUAACUUUUCUUCUUUAAUCGAAUCAAAUAUUAUUACUACAAUUUAUUCGCUGAUUGUGAUAAUUAUCGAAAAAUUUUCCCUCGAACAAAUGAAAAUUUACAAUAACUGAAGAGAAGAAAAAAAAACAUUCCAAAAAAUAUUCAUAUUCUAAAUUUCCAAUUACUAUGUCAGCAUUUUCUUUUGCUUUGUAUUAUUUUUAUUCUACUAACGAAUUGGAAAAUCCUGAUUGAUAUUUUCUACUUUCGGGUAUUGACCAUGGAAUCCAAAUUGUAACUAAUAAAUAUUCAUUAAUUAAAAGAAAAGACAAUGGACAAUCAAUUACAAUUCGAGAGAGAGAACGAAAAAAAAAUGCUGACAAGUAAAGUUAUUCACUAAAAUCAACUAAUUUUUCACCUUCGGGUGGAGAAAAUUAGUUAAUUGUCAUUCGAAAGUCAAUAAAUAAACAUAAUCGAUUCGAAUAUCGAGAGCAACAAUUAACGCACAAGAUUAAUUAGAUUCGAGAAGAUUUCCUCAAGCCUGAAGAGCUCUGAUCGCCUUUGGUGAUUAAGAAAUUGUAUCCAUUAAACUGCUGAUUAAAAGCUCAUCAUUUAUUUAUCAACAAUUAACUGGGUCAGAAAGAGAAAGUUAAUCAAAUUCUGAAUUCUAAUUAACUUCAUGAAUUAUAAGAGUAUCAAUUAUUCAACUGAACUUGAAAAUCAAGAAUCAAGAAAACAACAAAAUUAUCAUUAAAAUCAGGAAAUGAAUUUAAAAACCACGUUUACAAUUUAACCCUUUACUUUUCACCAACAGUUAACUAUAAUAAACUAGCGUUUCAACUGAUUAAUUGAUAAAAGAAAAAUGAAUUAUAAUUUGAUUGUUUUGAUUGCCUUGACUCUAAUGGUAACAAUUAGCUCAGCUAAAUCAAUCGACCAAUCUUCAUCCCAAGUAAGUGAUCUUAAAGGUAAUUUUAAUGAACAGGGAACAAUUAAGCCAAGUCUGAUUGGAUUAAGCGACAUAAUCAUCGCUAUUCCCGGAGCAGUUGUCAGAACAAUUAAUCAAAUGUUUGUAACAAUGGCGGGUGCGAUUGUGAUGAUGCCCAUGAUACUGGCCGCUCAUCCAUCCGGUCCACUCGGCUGGCUAUCUGGUUAAUCGGGUGAUUUGGUUAAUUGUGAUCGAAAAUAAAUUAUUACUGAGUUAAUUGUUCGA
Long non-coding RNA from Panonychus citri (citrus red mite), 2212 nucleotides. RefSeq lists it as uncharacterized. The transcript has 2 exons. The record is from RefSeq and is a predicted model, not a curated record. Lineage: Eukaryota; Metazoa; Arthropoda; Arachnida; Trombidiformes; Tetranychidae.